Molecule: unclassified non-coding RNA, 156 nt
Filed under: uncultured Herpotrichiellaceae
Lineage: Eukaryota; Fungi; Ascomycota; Eurotiomycetes; Chaetothyriales; Herpotrichiellaceae
Description: sequence contains ITS2
Source: RNAcentral
UCAACCCUCAAGCCCGGCUUGUUGUUGGGCUCGGUGAGGUCAUCCUCACCAGCCUCAAAGAUAAUGACGGUGCCUGGAGGACACUCGGUACAAUGAGCUUUCUAAAGCACGUACUGAAGUGGACUUUGAGGCCCGGUCUCUUUUAACUAUUUACAA